CUGCCUUCAUAAGGAUCUCUGUUGCAGCAAUGAUGUGGUCAUCUUGAAGGGCAGGACUGCACCAUUUGUAUUGCACUCUUUACCACCAUGAAGCUGGCCUAAUCUUGCCUCCACGGGGCCCAGAUAGCGAUCGCUAACAGGAGGCUCGCGCUGAGCUCCUUUGAAAUGCAGAGCGGCUCUGUGUGUAAAUUGGAGCCGGCGCACGGGAGCCACGGGAUGACACGUCGAGCCGCGACCCCUCUCUCCUGAUCGGGGCCAAGCAUGCAAAGAAAAAAGCCGAGUGAAUCGAGCCUGAGCAACAACAUCAACAACGACAGUAACAACAGACACAGAAACAUACCCAACCCAGAGGCGAAGUCAGCCAGGAGGAAAUUGCAUACAGCACAAAAGACUGAGGGGAGAGUGAGGUCCUUGUCAAUAAAGUGAAUGUUUAUGGCUAUGGCUGGGUCCUUGAGAGAGCAGUGGCACUGCUUGGUCCCAUCUGCAUAUCCCAGAGGAAGGAUCUG
Molecule: long non-coding RNA, 506 nt
Organism: Alosa sapidissima (American shad)
Lineage: Eukaryota; Metazoa; Chordata; Actinopteri; Clupeiformes; Clupeidae
Exons: 4
Source: RefSeq, a predicted model, not a curated record